UAGGGAAUCUUCCACAAUGGACGAAAGUCUGAUGGAGCAACGCCGUGUGAGUGAAGAAGGGUUUCGGCUCGUAAACUCUGUUGUUAAAGAAGAACAUAUCUGAGAGUAACUGUUCAGGUAUUGACGGUAUUUAACCAGAAAGCCACGGCUAACUACGUGCCAG
This 163-nucleotide ribosomal RNA is filed under the name uncultured bacterium. RNAcentral's name for it is "partial 16S rRNA". It matches the Rfam family "Bacterial small subunit ribosomal RNA", at positions 355 to 511 of the family's 1533-position model. The record is from RNAcentral.